UCUCCGGUAGCUCAAUUGGCAGAGCAUUCGGCUGUUAACCGAAAUGUUGUUGGUUCGAGUCCAACCCGGAGAG
This 73-nucleotide transfer RNA is filed under the name Caldilineae bacterium. RNAcentral's name for it is "tRNA-Asn". It matches the Rfam family "tRNA". Rfam says of the family: Transfer RNA (tRNA) molecules are approximately 80 nucleotides in length. The record is from RNAcentral. RNAcentral also lists the same sequence under 1 other name. Lineage: Bacteria; Bacillati; Chloroflexota; Caldilineae.